Molecule: ribosomal RNA, 525 nt
Filed under: uncultured bacterium
Lineage: Bacteria
Description: partial 16S ribosomal RNA
Rfam family: Bacterial small subunit ribosomal RNA
Source: RNAcentral
AUUGAACGCUGGCGGCAGGCCUAACACAUGCAAGUCGAGCGGAUGAAGGGAGCUUGCUCCUGGAUUCAGCGGCGGACGGGUGAGUAAUGCCUAGGAAUCUGCCUGGUAGUGGGGGAUAACGUCCGGAAACGGGCGCUAAUACCGCAUACGUCCUGAGGGAGAAAGUGGGGGAUCUUCGGACCUCACGCUAUCAGAUGAGCCUAGGUCGGAUUAGCUAGUUGGUGGGGUAAAGGCCUACCAAGGCGACGAUCCGUAACUGGUCUGAGAGGAUGAUCAGUCACUGUGGAUGUGAGAGACGGCGGAGACGCGGGGGGGGGGCGGGAGGGGAGAUUAGGGGACAAGGGACGAACGGCAGGUACAGCGAGGGCGUGGGUGUGAAGAAGGUCGGAGGAUUGUAAAGAAUGUUGAGUGGGGAGGAAGGGAAGUAAGUUAAUAUCUUGGUGUUUUGAAGUUAAAAAAAGAAGAAGCACCGGAUAGCUUCGGGCCAGCAGCCGAGGUAAUACGCGGAAGACAACACGUCUGAUC